Molecule: transfer RNA, 75 nt
Filed under: Chloroflexota bacterium
Lineage: Bacteria; Bacillati; Chloroflexota
Description: Chloroflexi bacterium (freshwater metagenome) tRNA-Lys
Rfam family: tRNA
About the family: Transfer RNA (tRNA) molecules are approximately 80 nucleotides in length. Their secondary structure includes four short double-helical elements and three loops (D, anti-codon, and T loops). Further hydrogen bonds mediate the characteristic L-shaped molecular structure. tRNAs have two regions of fundamental functional importance: the anti-codon, which is responsible for specific mRNA codon recognition, and the 3' end, to which the tRNAs corresponding amino acid is attached (by aminoacyl-tRNA synthetases). tRNAs cope with the degeneracy of the genetic code in two manners: having more than one tRNA (with a specific anti-codon) for a particular amino acid; and 'wobble' base-pairing, i.e. permitting non-standard base-pairing at the 3rd anti-codon position.
Source: RNAcentral
GGGCCGGUGGCGCAAUGGCAGCGCAGUGGACUUUUAAUCCAUUGGUUGAGGGUUCGAAUCCCUCUCGGCCCACCC